CUNNAGGAAGUANNGUCGUANCANGGUUUCCGUAGGUGAACCUGCGGAAGGAUCAUUAACGAGCUGAAAUAAAGAUAUAUAUAAUCGGGGUGCUAUCCGACGUGUAUUGUUGUACGGGAAGUUGUACACACAGUCACUAAGGAAAGAGCCCUCGAAAAAUAUAUCGAGUAGACCUAUUGGUGAUACGCGGUAGGCGCCUGAAUGCGCAAAGUCCGUCCAAUACGGUUGAAACUAUAUGAAAAAAGAACGAAAGUUUAUAAAUAACGCGUCUUGGUACCCCUAAGAGAGUAAAGUAGGGGGAAAGGACUGUUUCUUCGAUUACUCGAAUACGACUGCAUAACUGCAGUAAUUAGUAUCGGCUUUCUAUCGUAUAACGCGAGUGCGUCGGUUAAGUAGGUGUUCAGGGGCCUACCCGCCCACUCGGGAUACGCGUUUGCGAUCAGGGGGUGGCACGCGGUUUUUCGCAGCCCUAUCGGUACUAAUGAAAAGCACAGAUCGAAGUAACUGGUCCUCGCUUUUCUAUCGUAUAACGCGGAGUGCGUCGGUUAAGUAGGUGUUCAGGGGCCUACCCGCCCACUCGGGAUACGCGUUUGCGAAUCAGGGGGUGGCACGCGGUUUUCGCAGCCUUUGAGAUCAGCGAAACGAGAUCGCCGUCAGUUGGACGAGANUAUCGAGGACUGUCUGAAUGAAGAUCGUUAUGAAUAACGGACGUUCUAUAUUCAUUGCANCAGANGUCCGGGGAUCGAGUAUCNACCAAAGAAAANAAAANUGG
This 772-nucleotide unclassified non-coding RNA is filed under the name Longidorus africanus. RNAcentral describes it as "partial contains ITS1, 5.8S rRNA and ITS2". The stretch from base 1 to 58 matches the Rfam family "Eukaryotic small subunit ribosomal RNA", at positions 1773 to 1831 of the family's 1831-position model. The record is from RNAcentral. Lineage: Eukaryota; Metazoa; Nematoda; Enoplea; Dorylaimida; Longidoridae.